Molecule: ribosomal RNA, 872 nt
Filed under: Hymenolepis microstoma
Lineage: Eukaryota; Metazoa; Platyhelminthes; Cestoda; Cyclophyllidea; Hymenolepididae
Description: partial large subunit ribosomal RNA
Rfam family: Eukaryotic large subunit ribosomal RNA
Source: RNAcentral
UUUGAGAUUGCAGCCCAAAGAGGGUGGUAAACUCCAUCCAAGGCUAAAUACUGCCACGAGUCCGAUAGCGAACAAGUACCAUGAGGGAAAGUUGAAAAGUACUCUGAAGAGAGAGUAAACAGUACGUGAAGCCGCAUGCAGGUAAACGGGUGGCGUCAAGCUGCGAGCCCGGAGGAUUCAGCUGACUGGGAUGUAGUGUACGCGCGCCUGGUGCGUCGAGAGGCCGGAGUAAGAUGUGGCGGUCCACUCCUCUGUCGGGAGUGGGGUGCAAUCGGUGUGCGCUCGCCGUGCAACGGUUGUCGCUAUGCAUGCCGGGUGGGUGCCGGAGCAUGCCGCUCGUCUGUUGGGCCACCUAGUCAGUGCAUUUUCUCCGUGGUGAACACCACGACCGGUGGAACUGCCAGUCUGCUAUGAGCAAGUCGUGUCCUCCUGGCGCAUUGCUGUGUUGGGUGGGCGCGAUCGCUGGCGGAGUGGGUGAACGGCGCAGUGGUGCCUCGGUACUGCCGCGUGUUAUCGUGCACUCUCCGUCGUAAGCGGUUAGUGGGUUUGACUAAGUGCUGUGACUACUUGCCUACUAAUCGGCGGCUCUUAGUGGUGAAAGUGACUGUGCAGGGCACCGGAGUUGUCCACCUCAUUCAAUAUGGUAUCCGGCACGCACGUUACAGGUGCUAAGGAAUCGAGGUGCGCCGCUGUCUGCCUGGUGUUGGGCCUGACUGUCGUGUUGCCUGCAAAAAGUGGGUCCGGCGGUGGUUUCGAUACUUGGUAUUGGCAGUGUGAUGCGCGUCUCGGGUGUCUGUGAUACCGGGGGUGAAAUAGUCAGUGGUGCUGUGGUAGACGAGCUACCCGACCCGUCUUGAAACACGGACCAAGGA